CACGUAGGGGGCAAGCGUUGUCCGGAUUUAUUGGGCGUAAAGAGCUCGUAGGCGGUUUCGUAAGUCGGGUGUGAAAACUCUAGGCUCAACCUAGAGACGCCACCCGAUACUGCGAUGACUAGAGUCCGGUAGGGGAGUGUGGAAUUCCUGGUGUAGCGGUGAAAUGCGCAGAUAUCAGGAGGAACACCGGUGGCGAAGGCGGGUCUCUGGGCAACAACUGACGCUGAGGAGCGAAAGCUAGGGGAGCGAACGGG
RNAcentral lists this ribosomal RNA (254 nucleotides) under uncultured bacterium. Its description in RNAcentral is "partial 16S ribosomal RNA". It matches the Rfam family "Bacterial small subunit ribosomal RNA", at positions 524 to 776 of the family's 1533-position model. The record is from RNAcentral.